RNAcentral lists this transfer RNA (64 nucleotides) under Tritonia iocasica. RNAcentral describes it as "tRNA-Pro". Lineage: Eukaryota; Metazoa; Mollusca; Gastropoda; Nudibranchia; Tritoniidae. The record is from RNAcentral.
CAAAAAAAGUUUAUAAAGAAUACUAACUUUGGGAGUUAGAGGUUGACUAGAUAGUCAUUUUUGA